AGGUGCGAUCAUACCAGCACAAAUGUACCGGAUCUCAUUAGAACUCCGCAAUUUAGCGUGCUUGGGCGAGAUUAGUACUAGGAUGGGUGACCUCUUUGGAAGUCCUCAUGUUGCACCCU
Molecule: ribosomal RNA, 119 nt
Organism: Gossypium raimondii (Peruvian cotton)
Lineage: Eukaryota; Viridiplantae; Streptophyta; Magnoliopsida; Malvales; Malvaceae
Source: Rfam